GACGAACGCUGGCGGCGUGCCUAAUACAUGCAAGUCGAGCGAAGUUUUUCUGGUGCUUGCACCGGAAAAACUUAGCGGCGAACGGGUGAGUAACACGUAAAGAACCUGCCUCAUAGACUGGGACAACUAUUGGAAACGAUAGCUAAUACCGGAUAAUAGCAUUAACUGCAUGGUUGAUGUUUAAAAGUUGGUUUUGCUAACACUAUGAGAUGGCUUUUCGGUGCAUUAGCUAGUUUGUGGGGUAAAGGCCUACCAAGGCGACGAUGCAUAGCCGACCUGAGAGGGUGAUCGGCCACACUGGGACUGAGACACGGCCCAGACUCCUACGGGAGGCAGCAGUAGGGAAUCUUCCGCAAUGGGCGAAAGCAUGACGGAGCAACGCCGCGUGAGUGAAGAAGGAUUUCGGUUCGUAAAGCUCUGUUGUUAGGGAAGAAUGAUUGUGUAGUAACUAUACACAGUAGAGACGGUACCUAACCAGAAAGCCACGGCUAACUACGUG
Molecule: ribosomal RNA, 499 nt
Filed under: uncultured bacterium
Lineage: Bacteria
Description: partial 16S ribosomal RNA
Rfam family: Bacterial small subunit ribosomal RNA
Source: RNAcentral